RNAcentral lists this ribosomal RNA (404 nucleotides) under uncultured bacterium. RNAcentral describes it as "bacterial SSU rRNA". It matches the Rfam family "Bacterial small subunit ribosomal RNA", at positions 986 to 1392 of the family's 1533-position model. The record is from RNAcentral. RNAcentral also lists the same sequence under 1 other name.
AUCCUUUGAGACUCUAGAGAUAGAGCUUUCCCUUCGGGGACAAAGUGACAGGUGGUGCAUGGUUGUCGUCAGCUCGUGUCGUGAGAUGUUGGGUUAAGUCCCGCAACGAGCGCAACCCUUAUUACUAGUUGCCAGCAUUUAGUUGGGCACUCUAGUGAGACUGCCGGUGACAAACCGGAGGAAGGUGGGGACGACGUCAAAUCAUCAUGCCCCUUAUGACCUGGGCUACACACGUGCUACAAUGGAUGGUACAACGAGUCGCGAGACCGCGAGGUUUAGCUAAUCUCUUAAAACCAUUCUCAGUUCGGAUUGUAGGCUGCAACUCGCCUACAUGAAGCCGGAAUCGCUAGUAAUCGCGGAUCAGCAUGCCGCGGUGAAUACGUUCCCGGGUCUUGUACACACCG